This 74-nucleotide transfer RNA is filed under the name Gemmatimonadota bacterium. RNAcentral describes it as "Gemmatimonadetes bacterium (freshwater metagenome) tRNA-Lys". It matches the Rfam family "tRNA". From Rfam's summary of the family: Transfer RNA (tRNA) molecules are approximately 80 nucleotides in length. Their secondary structure includes four short double-helical elements and three loops (D, anti-codon, and T loops). Further hydrogen bonds mediate the characteristic L-shaped molecular structure. tRNAs have two regions of fundamental functional importance: the anti-codon, which is responsible for specific mRNA codon recognition, and the 3' end, to which the tRNAs corresponding amino acid is attached (by aminoacyl-tRNA synthetases). tRNAs cope with the degeneracy of the genetic code in two manners: having more than one tRNA (with a specific anti-codon) for a particular amino acid; and 'wobble' base-pairing, i.e. permitting non-standard base-pairing at the 3rd anti-codon position. The record is from RNAcentral. Lineage: Bacteria; Pseudomonadati; Gemmatimonadota.
GCCCCUGUAGCUCAGCUGGCUAGAGCAAGUCACUUUUAAUGACGAGGUCCCGGGUUCGAGUCCCGGCGGGGGCA